CUCCCUCUCCCCUCUCCUCCCUCCACCCCUCCCCCGACACUCUCGGUCUCUCUGUCUAAAAUAAACCGAGGUGGUCCCUGGUCUGGGCGUCCUAGGACGUGUCUGAACACCCCGCGGAGGAAGAAGACAGCACCAGCCACUGCUGGCACGGGGCUGCAGCCCCUGGCUACACACACCUCCGAAAGACAGCGGCGACUUCGGACACCUCUCUCCCGCCCCAGCCUGACUCCCCAGGGGCGGUGUGAAACCACAAGUGAUAAUAUCUCCCAUCGCCAGCUUUGAACUUCAGAUAGAAGGAGACCUUAUGGCAGUUGGACUAUCUGAGAGCAACCGCGAGAAGCAGCGGGAGGCUUCUGGGCGGUGCAGCGGCCGCGGCGGAUUGGAUCAAGCAAAGCGCGGAAUCCGUGAACUGGCCGCGGCCCCGAGGGCGCAGCUCCUGGACCGAGCGGCGCUAUCCUGCCCCAUGGACGCCUCCUCUAGCCCGUGGAAUCCAACCCCGGCUCCUGUCAGCAGCCCCUCCCUGCUGCUCCCCAUCCCCGCCGUCGUCAUCAUUGCUGUGGGCAUCUAUUUGUUGCUGCUGGGCCUGGUGCUGCUGACUAGGCACUGCCUACUCAGCGCUGCUGCACAGACUGCAGCCCCCCCUGCAGGAAGCAAGGCGCCUCUAGACCCCAAGACUGUUGCUGGACCUGUGCAGAAGCCUGCAACUUCCCUCUGCCUAGCCCAGCCCACUACCUGGAUGCCUGCUGCCCGCAGCCCACUGAAGCUGUGAGUUCUCGUGCUGGCCCCUGGCCCCUGAGCCCUGAUUGAGGUACUAUCCGUGCAUUCAUUUUUGGUUCAACAAAAUUUAUUACUGAGCACCUAUUCUAGGCCAGGCACAGUUCCAGGUACUGGCUCAGGUGGAGACAGCCAAAAACAACGUAAAAAACAGCUCAGAUACUUUUCUGGCAAUGAAAGCUACUUGUAGAAAAGAAAGUAGGGAAGCAGCUGGAGAAAGGUAAUGGGUAACGUGUAGGGCACAUGAGCACUUCUGAAAGUGGUAGUUAAAAGAAAAAACAGAGCCCCUCCAGAGCUCCUCCUGUUCACCAAGUGAAUACGGUAUUCUGGAUACUGUGCUACUGACAGGGUCAGAUAAUGACCUUGAGAACUGGGCAUUUUAAAAAACUGUGUGUGCUUGUGUGUGUGUGUACAUAUACACAUAUAUGCAUAUACACAUAUAUGUGUG
This 1222-nucleotide long non-coding RNA is filed under the name Sus scrofa (pig). RNAcentral describes it as "lncRNA (ENSSSCG00060070047.1)". The record is from RNAcentral. Lineage: Eukaryota; Metazoa; Chordata; Mammalia; Artiodactyla; Suidae.